The sequence is a ribosomal RNA, 395 nucleotides long. It matches the Rfam family "Eukaryotic small subunit ribosomal RNA", at positions 582 to 975 of the family's 1831-position model.
AUUCCAGCUCCAAUAGCGUAUAUUAAAGUUGUUGCAGUUAAAAAGCUCGUAGUUGGAUUUCUGGUGGGGCUGUCGGCCUGGCUCCGAAAGGGGUCGUGGUUAGUACACGCCGGGCCAUCCUCGGGGGAAGCUUUGCUGGCAUUAAGUUGUCGGCGGAGUGACGCUCGUCGUUUACUGUGAACAAAUUAGAGUGUUCAAAGCAGGCUUAGGCCGUUGAAUACAUUAGCAUGGAAUAAUGAGAUAGGACUUUGGUGGUCUAUUUUGUUGGUUUGCACGCCGAAGUAAUGAUUAAUAGGGGCGGUUGGGGGUAUUCGUAUUCAAUUGUCAGAGGUGAAAUUCUUGGAUUUAUGGAAGACGAACUACUGCGAAAGCAUUUACCAAGGAUGUUUUCAUCG